UUGCACAGUGAACACCCAAGGAUGCUAACAUGGCUCUCUCUGGCCUUUAGUGUCUGUGCUAACAUCAACUCUGGUCUGUUCCUCUGCAUUAGGAGAGUUUAGUCUCUCCUAUAUGUAUUCAGCUGAUCAGAACAAAC
Molecule: small nucleolar RNA, 137 nt
Organism: Nothobranchius furzeri (turquoise killifish)
Lineage: Eukaryota; Metazoa; Chordata; Actinopteri; Cyprinodontiformes; Nothobranchiidae
Source: Ensembl